AUACAAGACUUCAGAAAAUGCAAAAAACAGUGUCAACAAACUGGGAUAGUGAGUAUGGAUGUUAUCCUUGCCAUUUGCCAAAGCUUGGAGCCAAAAAAACACCCCCAUCAGAGCCAGAACCAUCCUCCACUGCUCUUCCUGCCCAGGCAAUCUACAUGUUAAGUACAAAGGAAGCAGUACUUCCAAAAGCUAAACUCCCAUCAGGAAGAAGAUUCAGCAGCUAGAGGAUGUUUGCCUAAUUACAUUAUCUCAACUUUUCCCAAUUACAUGGAGAACAGAUGUUUUGUGACUGAAAACAAACCCAAAGGGAAGGAACAUCAAAGACCAACUGCCUACAACAAGAGCCUACAAAAUCAUUUUUUUUUUCUUAAACUCACUUACUUACAAUGCCAAACACGUUUUGCCCAGGCAGGAAGGUGUGAUUAAGUGAAACUGCUUCCUUGGGGACUGCAGGAUGAUGCUGAAAGAAAACAACAAAGACACAAGUACCUUCAACAGAUUGUUUUAAUAAAGUUGAUGAAAUGCUGAAUUUCGACAUUCUAAUGAAACUGCCCUGCUAUGAUACUGGCUGGGAGGUCAACCAGCACACAAGCAACCUGGGUGUGAAGGAACACGAUUCAGGAUGGGAACAGUUCCGGGCGUGGAGAGAAGCGUGCAGCAAUUGGCGGGACUUUGUCGUGUGGACUUUGCUGUUAUUAUGUGGUUUCAUUGUAUUCACACUACACAGUGCACAGC
Molecule: long non-coding RNA, 735 nt
Organism: Pipra filicauda (Wire-tailed manakin)
Lineage: Eukaryota; Metazoa; Chordata; Aves; Passeriformes; Pipridae
Exons: 4
Source: RefSeq, a predicted model, not a curated record